ACAUAUAGUGUAAAUAUAGGUGGCUGCAUUAUAAAUGCAACUUAAAAGGGAAUCAGGUGCAAGUCCUGUACGGUCCCGCCGCUGUAAUGGGGAGAUGUUUUACUUUUACCACUGGUAUUCCGGGAAGGUGUAAAACAUUCAUGAGCCAGAGUCAGAAUACCUGCCUAUAUUUUAUAUACCUA
This 182-nucleotide non-coding RNA is filed under the name Gottschalkia purinilytica. Lineage: Bacteria; Bacillati; Bacillota; Tissierellia; Tissierellales; Gottschalkiaceae. The record is from RNAcentral.